Molecule: long non-coding RNA, 659 nt
Filed under: Nicotiana tabacum (common tobacco)
Lineage: Eukaryota; Viridiplantae; Streptophyta; Magnoliopsida; Solanales; Solanaceae
Description: long non-coding RNA (NTAB_LNC013651)
Source: RNAcentral
UCCAUACACCAUAGAAAAUAUGUAGAGAAAUCAUAUCUUUGAUAGUACAUAUAUCAUUUUCAUAUCCUAGGCAAAAGGAAGGCACAGUCCCUGUUGCUUUGGCUCGUAUAGAGGCCAAAUACCAUAGAAAAUAUGUAUGAAAGUCACAUUUUUGAUAGUACAUAUAUCAUUUUCAUAUUCUCUCCAACAACAUUAUAUACAUAAGAAAACACAAAAUAGAUGUACUAAUGUCAUCCACAGUAAGUGGCCAAGGCUUUGUUAGAAUGUCUCAUUAGUUGGGGAAUGAACUAUUAUCUCUUAUAUGUUCCUGAGCAUUUUCCCAUCAAGAGCUACUCUUUUGGAUUUGAGUUAGGUCCGAUGCCACUUUUUAAUAUUACAGCUAGAGCCAUCUCUUUUCCAACUUACUCAAAAUUUGCUCCCCAUUCUACAGAAUCCACGCUCCACAUGUCCGGUUGUGGGCGUGCCACGGGUUGCUAGAAUGUUUCAUUUUGAUUGAGGGAAUGGGCGGUUUCUCCUUACACGGUCUUGAAAAAUUUUCAAGUCAUCAGCUAACUUUUGGGUUUGAGUUAGGCCAACGUCCAUUUUCUUAACAAGCUUCACUCUUUGAGCCCUGUAUCACUUUAUGUGAAGUUGAUGCGAGGGGAAGAGGACGAGGAAGU